RNAcentral lists this long non-coding RNA (2066 nucleotides) under Cricetulus griseus (Chinese hamster). RNAcentral describes it as "lncRNA (ENSCGRG00015038006.1)". The record is from RNAcentral. Lineage: Eukaryota; Metazoa; Chordata; Mammalia; Rodentia; Cricetidae.
AUCAAUAUGUUGUCACACUCCUGCCUAGUGACCAAAAAGAUAUAAAAACUAUUUGCUUUAGAAACUUAGGGUCCUUCUCUUCUCAGAGAGAAACCCCAGCGCGUUGGAAUAAAAUCCUUUUGCUUUUGCAUCGAACUUUCGUCCUGUGAGUGACUUUAUAGGGUACGUCUCCCCAAGUUGGACCCCCCCCACUUUUGGGGUCCAACAGUGUGUGUGUGUGUGUGUGUGUGUGUGUGUGUGUGUGUGUGUAGUGUGUGUAGACCAGAAGGCAACUUUUAGUAUUGUUCCCUGGGAGCUAUCCACCUUAGUUUUUUAAACAGGGUCCUCCAUUGACUUAGGGUAAUCAAUUUGACUAAGCUGGCCAGUGAGCCUCAGGGAUCUACCUGUCUCCAUCUCCCCCAGCACUGAGGAUUACAAAUGCCUGCCAUCAUGCCUGGUUUUUCAAACAGCUAAGGGAUCAAACACAGGUCCUCAUCCUUGUGCAAUGAGCACUUUACUGACUGAGCUAUCCCAAACCAGCCCCUAUGCUCCAAGUCUUUACCCUCCAGGUCUAGCUUUAGCACAUCGGUGAACCUUGGCUGAACCGAUUUUUACCUUUACAGUUGGCAUGUGUUGAUUUUCCAGUUGAUUGUUUCUAUCACAUUUUUCAGAGGGAGGGGCUUUCUCCCAUAGGAAAGACUGUUCAUUUCUUCACUGUUGUAAAUGCGUGUAUUUGUAUCAGCAGAAGCUGGAAGAAGGGAGAGAAUAACGUCCGGGUAUUUAUUGCACCAUCCUUCCUUGCAGCCUCACCACUGGCUGACCGGUGAUCACACCCAGGGUUAUGAUGGUGUUGGGUGGCCCUAGGACAGCUCCAUCUUUGCCAUUUCUGGAAAUGAAUCCUUCCUAUCAGCCACACAAGCCUAGAGGACUGCCAUGGGAUGCAUGACAUCAUUUCCAUCAAUGAUGAGCCAAAAGUACACUGGAGUCCCAUGACGUUAAAAUGGAGCUGAAACACUCCUAUUCAGGAAAAGGAGAAUCUGGGUGUGGUGGUAACACAACAAAUCCAGCACUUGGAAAAGAGAAGCAGGAACUCAAAGUCACCCUUAGAUAUAGCAUGUGUGAGGCCGGCUGGACGCAGGAACUAUGUGUGAGGCCAGCUGGACACAGGAAAGCUUGUCUGAAGCCCCAUCCCUCAAAAACCCCACAGCAGAGCAUCUGCCUAACAUGUAUAGACUUUGGUUCCAUCUCUACCACUAGGAAAAAGAUUUCCAUCGUCUGGUGUCCCAGUCAUCUUUAACUGUCAACUGGACAGGGCCAAGAGUUUAGGAAGGAGUCUCAACAGAAGAAUUGCCCAGAAGAGAGUGGCCUGUGGGCAUACCUGGCAGUGAUUGCCUUAACUGAUGGAGGAGGACCCAGCCUGCUGUAGGCAGCACAAUUCUAUGGACUUGUGGUCCUGGUGUGUAUGAGAAAGCCAGCUAUGCCUCAACCUGCAAGACAUCAAGGAAGUAGCUUCUCCAUGGUUUCUGCUUGAGUCCCUGCCCUUGCUUCCUAUAGUGACAGACUAUACCCUAAAAGCUGAACUAAACAUCUCCUCACUUACAAUGUUGCUGGCCAUGGUAUCUGUUAUAGCAGAAGGAUGACCCUGUAGUAAUGUCACAACCAUCACAAAGUCACAAGACAACAACUCCUUAUGAGUGUGUUUUUUUGGUGAUGAUAAGCAAACCUCCUACACUGUCAGUCAAGUAAAAGCACAUAUAUGAUUUGGCACGGCCAAUAAUACUUGACCAUGGUAAUAACUGGUGUUCCUGGUUGAUCUAGUAGCUAAAAUAAGAAUUAGACAUGACUAAUCACUAAAAGCAUUUGUCACAUUAGCACAUUCAGAAAAGGUGAUUUUUAAAAAUUUUAUAUGAGAAGAUGCAGGUUGUAACCUGUCUCCCCCCACCCUUUUUUUUCCUUCAGUUUAAAACUAUCCAAAUUGGGAUGGGGUGAUGAGUGAUGGCACAGUGAUUAAGAAUAAGUGUCGCCUUGCAGAGGAUCAGAGUUCAAUUCCUAGCAAGUAUUUCAGGUGGCUUACAACUACUGGUAAC